AGAAACCGAGAAGCAGCUCUCUACACAACUUCAGAUGCUGAAUGCUCGACAGGCUAAAACAUAGGCAUUUCUAGCAGAUUUAGCUAGUAAUCCAGCUUUUCAAUCGUUCUUCAUUGGUGAAUCUUCCUGGUAAGACUUUUUAUUUAUAUAAUAUAUGCUACUUAUAAAAUGUGUAGAUAAUGUGUUCCACAUGGAACUUAUAUAUUUUCUCUCAAGUAUUAUAAUUCAGAAUUUAUCUUCUCUCAAGUCUAUAUUUAUUUUUUAUUCUUCUUCUAAAUAAUAUUGAAAUACUCAAAACACAUGCAUGUUGGAAAUAAUCAAUGUGCAUUUUCAAAUUGCAGAUAAAAGAACUAUGGGUGGUAUAUAUUUAGCUUGCGGAUCGAAUGGUUUCGGAUGACUAGCUAUGAGAUUGAAGACCUUUGAAGAUCACAAGAUUAUUAUCUUUUUUUUUGUUUUUAGUGAAAAUGUGGAUAUUAUUAGUUUAUGUGGAUACGGAUUUUGAUUAGUAAUUCUUAGAAGUUGUUGGUC
RNAcentral lists this long non-coding RNA (528 nucleotides) under Aquilegia coerulea. RNAcentral describes it as "long non-coding RNA (ACOE_LNC000742)". Lineage: Eukaryota; Viridiplantae; Streptophyta; Magnoliopsida; Ranunculales; Ranunculaceae. The record is from RNAcentral.